This 399-nucleotide unclassified non-coding RNA is filed under the name soil metagenome. Its description in RNAcentral is "partial contains 5.8S ribosomal RNA, internal transcribed spacer 2, and large subunit ribosomal RNA". The stretch from base 1 to 120 matches the Rfam family "5.8S ribosomal RNA", at positions 35 to 154 of the family's 154-position model. The record is from RNAcentral.
GAUGAAGAACGCAGCGAAAUGCGAUACUUGGUGUGAAUUGCAGAAUCCCGUGAACCAUCGAGUCUUUGAACGCAAGUUGCGCCCGAAGCCUCGGCUAAGGGCACGUCUGCCUGGGCGUCACGCAUCGCGUCUCCCCCAAACCGCCAAGGCGGAGGGGAAGGAAGAUGGCUUCCCGUGCCUCACCCGGGCGCGGUUGGCCUAAAUUUGGAGCCCGCGGCACUUAGCUCUCGCGGCGAUAGGUGGUGAACAAGGCCUUGGCCGUGCAAACAACCCGCUGCGAAGCUCUAUGUCACGUGCGCUCGUCGGACCCUUUGAAGUUGCCUUCGGUGACUUAAAACCUUUGCGACCCCAGGUCAGGCGGGGCUACCCGCUGAAUUUAAGCAUAUCAAAAGCGGAGGA